This 835-nucleotide long non-coding RNA is filed under the name Gallus gallus (chicken). Its description in RNAcentral is "lncRNA (ENSGALG00010029112.1)". Lineage: Eukaryota; Metazoa; Chordata; Aves; Galliformes; Phasianidae. The record is from RNAcentral.
AGCGUCUUUCCUUCAGCUACCCAGGCAUGAGGAUGCAGACAUUUGCCACCAGACUGUUUCUGAAGGUGUGCCAACAGCCACAGCCCAGAGAGCCCUGGGAGCAACGUUAGAGCUUGUUCAGACGUGACCUCAUCCCAACGGUGAUCACUAACAGAAUUAUUGACCUGACCGUUUGCUGCUGGAGAAUUUUGGAAAUGCCAGGUUCAUUACAGCCCUGCUUAUUGCCAGGAAGCAUUACAGCUUUGUGCUCGCAGCAGCUUUAAAGGCAGAUGAAAGCCAUAACGCCGGGUCACCCCAGAGACACACCAAGUGCAUCAUCUCAGCCUAGUUGGAAAAGGAUAUUACAAUGUCCUGGUACCCUGAGCUGUUUGCACUGAUGUCCCCACGGAGGGGACACAGAGAGCUGGCUGGGAGAAGAAAAUGAACAGUUCUACUUAUGCAGCGAGUAAAUGAUCACGGAGCAAGAAUGAUUUCCAUUUGCCUACAUUCCUUCCUGCUCUCAGCAGCCCCAGAUCAUGAUCUCCCUGUACUGACUGAGGGCACAGAUCUGGCUCAUGCUGGAGGGGUGAUGCAUUCCAGACAUCCCAUGGAUGACACCCAGGUGGGCUCACCUGCAUUCGUACAGCCCGGGUCAUAAGGAGCUAUUCUGAAGCAAAGCCCUGGAGCACUGCAGUGGGUAGGAAAAAAAGCCAUUAAACCCUCCUGCCAGCACAGGAUUAGCUAGUGCAAGGUUAAAUCUCACUUCUUAAAAGGCUGGAUUGCAGGGUGAUAAAUGGCACGGCUUCCUGUAUUGUUUGGUAAUUAAUUGUUUGAAUCCUAUUGUAUUAAGGGGAGG